This 400-nucleotide ribosomal RNA is filed under the name uncultured bacterium. RNAcentral describes it as "bacterial SSU rRNA". It matches the Rfam family "Bacterial small subunit ribosomal RNA", at positions 355 to 746 of the family's 1533-position model. The record is from RNAcentral.
UGAGGAAUCUUGCGCAAUGGGGGAAACCCUGACGCAGCAACGCCGCGUGAGUGAGGAAGGCCUUCGGGUCGUAAAGCUCUGUCGGGUGGAAAGAAACGUACGAAUGUUAAUAGCAUUUGUACUUGACGGUACUGCCAAAGGAAGCACCGGCUAACUCCGUGCCAGCAGCCGCGGUAAUACGGGGGGUGCAAGCGUUGUUCGGAAUCAUUGGGCGUAAAGAGCGUGUAGGCGGCCGAAUAAGUCAGAUGUGAAAUCCCUGGGCUCAACCCAGGAAGUGCAUUUGAAACUGUUCUGCUAGAGUAGGGGAGAGGGAAGUGGAAUUCCUGGUGUAGAGGUGAAAUUCGUAGAUAUCAGGAGGAACACCGGUGGCGAAGGCGACUUCCUGGCCUUAUACUGACGC